RNAcentral lists this ribosomal RNA (395 nucleotides) under uncultured bacterium. RNAcentral describes it as "bacterial SSU rRNA". It matches the Rfam family "Bacterial small subunit ribosomal RNA", at positions 28 to 416 of the family's 1533-position model. The record is from RNAcentral.
GACGAACGCUGGCGGCGCGCUUAACACAUGCAAGUCGAGCGAGAACCAGGACUUCGGUCCUGGGGACAGCGGCGAACGGGUGAGUAACACGUGGAUAACCUGCCCUCGGCACCGGGAUAGCCCGAGGAAACUCGGAUUAAUACCGGAUAGCCCUUCCGACUCUCGAGUCGGUCCGAAAAGGUAGCUUCGGCCUCUGGCCGGGGAUGGGUCCGCGGCGGAUUAGCUUGUUGGUGGGGUAACGGCCUACCAAGGCANCGAUCCGUAGCUGGUCUGAGAGGACGAUCAGCCACACUGGGACUGAGACACGGCCCAGACUCCUACGGGAGGCAGCAGUGGGGAAUCUUGCGCAAUGGGCGAAAGCCUGACGCAGCGACGCCGCGUGAGGGAAGAAGGCC